Molecule: ribosomal RNA, 2392 nt
Filed under: Triticum aestivum (bread wheat)
Lineage: Eukaryota; Viridiplantae; Streptophyta; Magnoliopsida; Poales; Poaceae
Description: partial small subunit ribosomal RNA
Source: RNAcentral
GACGCUGUCACCCCGACCACACGACGACCCCAAUCCCAAACUCCUUUGGGAUCGGCGGAGGCCGCGCGCUACCGGAUGGCCGGCAUGGGCGGCGGAGUCCCCGGGAAGGGCGGCGUCCGGGGCGGAUAGUUGGGCAUGCCCGUCGGCGUUCGCCCCAUGCCGGUGUACGGCGGCGGCGGCGGCAAGGUGCGCGGCGGCGGCGGCGGCAAGGUGCGCGGCGGCGGCGGCGGCAAGGUGCGCGGCGGCGGCGGCGGGGGCGGGCCUGGCGGGGGAGGCGUGGUCGGAGUCAUGAAGCCGGUGCGCGGGGGCGUCGUCGUCGUCGUCGUCGCCGGCGGCGGCGGGGUCUACAUAAUGGUCGGGGGCGCCGGCGGUAGCAUGCCGCCCUUGUCGUUAGUUCGCGGGGGAGGUGGCGGUGGUGGUCACAGACGAGGGGGAAGGCGCGGCGGUGGCGGUGGCGGAGGCCGGGUCGGGGUCGGCGGGGGUGCCCUCCGGGGGGGCGGCGGCGGUUUCCUCGCCGUCCGGUUCCGCCGCGACGGCUCCCACCUCAGCCUCCUCCUCGCCGCUCGCUCCUUCUUCGCGCUCAUACUCUUCGUCUUCGACCUCCUGGCCUUCGUCGUCGUCGACUACGCGGUCAGCGUCCGGUGGUAAGAUGUUUUCUGUGUCUUCCACGCGCGGCGGUGCGUCGUCGUCGUCGGUGUCGUCGUCUCGGCGGUGGAGGUCGGUAGUCGACCCCGAGCCGGCCGCUGCUGUCGCAGAGCGGGUCGGCGGCGCCGGUUGUGGCUCUCCAAGCUCUUAGCCGAGUUCUUCGGCUGUUGCAAGGAGACGUUCGUGUUCAAAUCCUUACUUGACGGUCUGGGUUCACGUGUCAACUUUACCGACGGAGAAUUAUUCCUGUUCCUGGCUAUAUGGUUUAUGUCCUAGUGCAGUAACCUCUUUUGAUAUACGGAUUUUACUAACAGGGACUCCUAGAGCCCUAUGGAGAACUGGAUGAACUAUACUCACAUAUGUUGGGAGGGAGACAAGUAGCGGGGGACCGAGGUCUUCUAGUUCUCGACGACGCACUUCUGCUCCAAGAGUGGGGACAAUUUGGUCUUCCAUAUUCCUUUUUCCUCUCCGGUUGGCUGUUUCCGUACAGAACCGACCACUUUUGUGUCAUGUAAAGAGGUGAAUGAUGACUACGUCGGUUUUACAGCUAGUGACUUUUCGUUCGUUUUCUUUCCGCUCUUAGUUCCCUCCCAGCACUAUUACAGGAGCUUUUAGAAUUACUAUCUGUCUUCGCCUAGUUUCGGUAACGUCUUAGGAAGUUUCGUCGAUUUAGUGCGGGACAGGUGGUCUGAUUUGCUCCCUACCUCGGUCUCAAACAAGAGGGAAACCAUGGGCUAAAACUAUCCAUAUUACUAGGUAAACAAUACCACUUAAAACUACCUCUAGGAUGUCGACUAAGCCUCGUUAUAUGGUUCGAUCUCUCUGGACAUGCACUACUUACGCUUAGGGUCCGAGACUACUUUUCAAAAGUUCAGUCACCAAGUCUGGGACGUUUUGUUCUCUCUAAAAACCGUAUGUACCGAGGUCGUGGGGUGCUCGAAGAGUUCCUGAACCUACUACUUUUACUUCUGAAGGUCAUGAGGACCUAAGCCCUUAUAGUGACCCUUCAUUCCCCCCUACUGUUCGUUCUAGGUUGCUGAAUGGAACAGAGUAAACUACUGCUACUUCGUUUUAUAAACAGAGAAGGAUGGUUCGAUCACAACGUCUUCUUUUUUCGUUUUCUCCCAUCUAGACCCCUACUUUAGCUCGUAAAGGGUCACGGAAGAUCUUAAUGACACUCGUCCUGUAGUGUACCACUACUCUACCUCGUACCUCUUAGUAGGUCGUACGUACCAUUAAAUUUCGCUGCUUCUAGAAGACAACUACUACUAGAACUACUCGUAGGCUCCGCAAGAGCACAUCUUCUACGUCUCGUCAUAUCACUUCUGCUAAGACUUACUAGUCAUCUAUACUUUCCUGGCAGUAAAAGAACGUGCAACUUAAUUGGUCGUGCAUACUUAGAAACUUCUAGAGUAUACGUCUCGUCAUAUCCCACGUCCCAACUACUUUCUUUGACGAACUCACGUAAGCCGUUAUCAUCUAAAACUUCACGUCUCGCCCGUUUCGUUCCGAAUCACAUUGACCUGGAAUUCUGACCAGAGUCUUAACUCCCAUCUUCCAGAGUAGUAGUAACAUUUUUUUUUCCGAGACAUCAGAAACCCUCACUAAGAGGCAACGACAAAACUACUAUAUCCGGUUAAAUAAAUACAGUCCUAACAUCUGUCGACACAUACCAUUAAAAAAAAAGACCACCUUUACUACUAGUUACAUAAACACGAUGCUCCUUACAAUUCCACGCUAAUCACAA